GCCACCUUAGCUCAACGGGAGAGCGGUUGCUUUGUAAGCAGCAGGUUCUGGGUUCGAAUCCCAGGGGUGGCU
RNAcentral lists this transfer RNA (72 nucleotides) under candidate division MSBL1 archaeon SCGC-AAA382N08. RNAcentral's name for it is "candidate divison MSBL1 archaeon SCGC-AAA382N08 tRNA". It matches the Rfam family "tRNA". From Rfam's summary of the family: Transfer RNA (tRNA) molecules are approximately 80 nucleotides in length. Lineage: Archaea; Methanobacteriati; Methanobacteriota. The record is from Rfam by way of RNAcentral.